UAGAACAACAUUUACAUAGCAAUUUAUAAUCCCUUUAGCUUAGGUUCUUUCUUAAUUUGUACUUCUUCAGAUUUAAAUUGCAAUGAUUAGUAUGCUGGUGCAGUUUCACCUCCGGGAGGAGACUUUUCAGAUCCUGUGAGUUCUGCAACCCUUAGUAUUGCGCAGGACCUCAAGUCGCAGCUGCAAGAGUUAAUUCAUUCCGAAACAGCAGUGAAUCUCUUUUUAUUUUCUAGUUCCCUCUUUCCUCGUAGAGAUUUUCCCAGUUUCAGGACCAUCUGAAGAAAGUCAGAACAUGGGAAGGUCCAACUGGUAAACAUCACUUGAUAUGGUAGAAACACUGAUGAUUUUGACCUUUUGGUCUGUUUAUUUGAUUUUACCCUUCCCCUUUGAAAUAGAGGUUAUUGGUGGGAUGAGAGGUAUGACUGGAUUGCUUUGGGAAACCUCAUUGCUUGACGUGGAUAUGUACUGAUAACUCUCUGUUUACUUGGUUAGAUCCUAGAUGAUCUUAAAUAUAUCAAUAGCUCAUCCUUCCCGUUCUAAGGCUGUUCUGGGAAGCCAACAUAUGACGAUUGCCUCAACCUGAUUGCUCGUGUUCCUGUUGUACAAGAAUGGUGAUUCCAAGACAACAAAAAACCUAUGUAAAGCUUGGAAAUGUUAUCAGUACAUACAGCCUUAUUCCUGUUCGUUUCUUUUGCUGAUUCACUAGAGUAUGUUUUCCCAUUAAAGCUUGGAAAUGUUAUCAGUACAAAAAACCUAUGUAAAGCUUGGAAAUGGUGAUUCACUAGAGUACUUU
Molecule: non-coding RNA, 793 nt
Organism: Camelina sativa (false flax)
Lineage: Eukaryota; Viridiplantae; Streptophyta; Magnoliopsida; Brassicales; Brassicaceae
Source: RefSeq, a predicted model, not a curated record